Molecule: long non-coding RNA, 1681 nt
Filed under: Toxoplasma gondii VEG
Lineage: Eukaryota; Apicomplexa; Conoidasida; Eucoccidiorida; Sarcocystidae
Source: RNAcentral
CUUGUGAGUUCGCAAAGGGACGCCAGAGAAAAAGAUGUCAAGCGGAAAAGGAGUCUACAACAAGGCGACUUCAAACGGAUACAAUCGUGUACUUGGUCCCUCUUCGUCAGGAGCACCAAUCAUCAAUCGUCUGCUUCGUCCCACGGUUCCCGGUUAGGUGGCUUCAGGUUUUGUCGGCUGCGCCGCUGAGAACGGAAUAUCGGUUUUAUGUGUCUUGUGUCUUUUCGUGAUUUCCGAUUCUCCCUUUCAGCUCGUACGGCCAAUUCCACGCAAAAGGAAAUGAGGAUUAUGGGCAGAAGCACCAAAGGAAUUCUAAACAAUGGACGAAGUUUGUUCGUGCUGAAUAGUAGGAGCGAACGUCCACACGGAACUCUUGGUUGUUUUGCUCAGGAAGUAAGAUUGGUUGGGGUCUUGAGCAUCCAUUUAACCUCGGAGAAGGCAAGAGCAGUGCAGAGUGAAAAGAGCAAAGAAAUCGAGACUCGCCUGGAAAGAGGACCGAGGAGGAGGAAAAAAACGGCUGGGCUGAGCAGGAACUAGCGAGCACCUUUUCUUUUGGAACUCAGCGCGUAAGAUGGGAACUGGCGGAACAUGUGACUGGACAGAGAGGCCGAUAACUCUCUGAACAAUCAGACAGCUCAACGGGGGAGAAGAGUCAGAGAGAAUAGAAAUCCACACGUUUUCCGCGUUCGCUUCCAGACCCAAAGCCUCACCUCCGUGACAGUCCCUGCGUUUCCCGUUUCUUCCUCGUCUCUGGUUGCAGGGUUGCAUUGAAUGCCACUCUCCUUCCAUUCCUAAUUCCUGCCCGAGCAUCUUCUGUUGAUUUCCAGAGAACCUCGCCUUUCUGCUUGGCUCCGUUUUAAACGUUUUUCUUCGCUUUCCACUGCUGCGUCUUCUUUUGCGGGGCUUUUCGUGGUGUCUCUGUGCAGAUGGUAAGGUUUCCACAAUUUCUUCAGUGGAAAAACCUUGUCGCAUCUUCCAGCUUCCCGCACAGUCAGUGCUCGGCAAAAGCCGACCACGGCUCAUAUUCCGCGGUGACUUGUCAGUCCGUGUGAUGCAGCGCGUCGUUCUUCCUACUGGGUUCUGAACAGCGAACGCGCGAAAGCUGUGGCUGCUUGUCUUUUCUGAGUGCCACCUCUCACACUGUGCCUUGAGGUUAAACACUCCAGCGAGUACGUUGGUGCCAUCAAGAGACGGCAGAGCGUGAACGGGCUUCUGAAUAAAGGUUGCGUGGCGAAAAGCCUCUUGCAUCCUGAUUUUGCGCGAGUCCUCGGCCUGUUCUCUAGGUCGACAGAUUCUUGCAGUUGCUCAGGUUAUCUGUUCCGCGCAGCUAGGAAAAGAUACAACAAGCAGAAGCGUGGCAAAGGAAAACGACCGACCAAAGUGAAGUUCCUCUCACCGCCGCCUCUCUUCUCUGUUCCAUGCAUUUCUCUCUUUUGCACCCUUGCGCGCAACGCGCGAAAGGAAGCAGGCGUGCGUUAAAUUCUGACUGAUCUGGAUGUGUAGUCGCUUGGAGGAGGGCGGCGCGGAAAAAGAAAGAACGGGAGAGGUCCCAGGAAAGAAAGGAAGCCAUCUCUUUGGAGAGAGAUGCCCCUGCGGUGAAAUUCGUCUGACCUAGAUGGAAAAGAUGCGAACGCGUAAAAAUAUUGAGUUUCUUCCUGUCUGCCGCUCCCUCUUUCAGGCG